This 440-nucleotide ribosomal RNA is filed under the name uncultured soil bacterium. RNAcentral's name for it is "bacterial SSU rRNA". It matches the Rfam family "Bacterial small subunit ribosomal RNA", at positions 26 to 518 of the family's 1533-position model. The record is from RNAcentral.
AGAGCGAACGCUGGCGGCAGGCCUAACACAUGCAAGUCGAACGAUCCUUCGGGAUAGUGGCGGACGGGUGAGUAACACGUGGGAACGUGCCUUUUGGUUCGGAACAACUCAGGGAAACUUGGGCUAAUACCGAAUGUGCCCUUCGGGGGAAAGAUUUAUCGCCAUUAGAGCGGCCCGCGUCUGAUUAGCUAGUUGGUGAGGUAAAGGCUCACCAAGGCUACGAUCAGUAGCUGGUCUGAGAGGAUGAUCAGCCACAUUGGGACUGAGACACGGCCCAAACUCCUACGGGAGGCAGCAGUGGGGAAUCUUGCGCAAUGGGACGAAAGCCUGACGCAGCCAUGCCGCGUGAAUGAUGAAGGUCUUAGGAUUAGUAAAUUCUUCGCCGGGACGAUAAUGACGGUACCGGAGAACGAGCCCCGCUAACUCGCGCCAGCAGCGAC